CUUCUGGUUGGCUGAAAGUGGGGUGGCUCUACUUCCCGCAGACAUUCAGGGGUCCAGGCUGACAGAGGCUCUGCUAUUUUCAAUACGUGGCUCCCAGUGUUUCCUGCCAUCAAUAUCCAGCCAGCAAAUGGGGGAGUAGAGAAGGCACGUCUGCUUUUUAACCUCAUGCAUUCCACCCACAUUCCUUGAUGGGCCCUCUUUUGCAAGAGGAACAAUUUCUUGAACUAGGAAAACAGUUAAUUCAGCACGUGACAAUCAGUGCAGACUUCAGGUGAGUCACCAGGCACGGGUGCAGUGCCAGUGGCAGCUCACAGUGACAGAGAAGGGUCAUGGUCCGUGCAGAAGAAUUCUAGUCUUCAGUUACCCACGAGAAGGUCAGCAGCCCUGGGUUGAAAGAUCAGCAGGUUCACACCCUCGGGAUUCUUUUGAUGAUGUUCUGAAAGGCGUUGGAGCUAGAGUGUCUGGAAGGUGGAGGAGAUGGCGGUCUAUAAUAACUUUGGUUAUGGUGGCUGAGCUGCGAGAACUUGCUGAGGCGCGCGGCCUCCUCCUCUCUCCUCUGUUGGCAGGUAGGUGGAUGUUUGCCCAGCUGGGGGUUUAUCUUCCCCAGAGUGGGAAAGGACAGCGCCACAGUGUAAACAAAGUAAGAAUCACAACUGGAUGGGGAAAUCAGAUUGACCUGGAGAAAUUAUGGCAUUACUAAACACAGCGUUUGCCUUGGCAGUAAUAAAGGACGAGUGCUGGGCGUCAGGGGCCACCAGGACGCCCCCACACCGUUCACUGAAAUACCAAAUGGUAUCUGCGGAUCAGAGCUAAGAGCACUGCUGGGUGUUGGUGGGAGCUUCAGAGCAGCUGGCAGCUUUGGGAAGGAAUUACCUCAGAAGGAAGGAAGGAAGAGAGAAGGGAGAGAAAGAAGAAAGGAAGGAAGGAAGGAAAGAGGGAAGGAAGGAAACAAUGAUGCAGAAAGAAAGGGAAAAAGAAUGAGAAACAGAACCGGCUGCCCCAGACUGGGUUUGCCCUAGUUAGUGUACCACGUAAAUGUAUUUCCGUUAUUAAAACGAGGGUUGAGACUGCCCCUCAGUCUUGGCUAACAGCAUGGUUAUGCCAUAAAGAAGCCAUUGUUCUCUGGGAAUAAAAUGCCGCUAUUUUUUAAAGACAAGGGACUCUUAGAGCACCAGGAAAAAUCAGUACUAACUGGUAGCUGGAAAAUGAGAUUCACCUCACAUGGGAGUUGGACCUAUGUCAGAAGCUGCCUCCAACAUGGACUCCAGGCUUUCACCUGCUGUUCAGAUAGCCCAUGCUGAACAUCCUCAUCAGAACCCUCCUGCCUCUGCAGUUGGAGCUUUGGUUUCCUGAUUUGUCAAAGAAGGGGGUUGGCAUUAGGGAUUUCUAAAGAACUUCCAGCAAGGAAAUACUUGCAUCCUCUGGUUCAUAUCCCUGUGGUUUGGUUUCUGGUGGCUUUUACCUUAGGGAUACCUAGCAUUUUCUGGUUCUGCCAGGAGUGGAGGACCCCAGCUGGAUGCUCAGCCCUCACCACCUGAAGUGUCACACUGGAAUGAGAAUUAUGUUAAUUGAAUUUGGGGGGCCUUGUGCCUUUGGAACAGGUGGCCAGAGAGUCAAAAUCUAAUUUACAUACUGAUAAGAGUUGAAAAAUGAGGCUUUCUAAUUAACAAAAUGCCUGCAACUGGUCUGGCUUGAUAUUAGCAUAAAAGUGUUCAUCACAUUGGCAUAUAGUUAGGACGCUGGGCAAAUUUGCCUCUAAAAAUUCACUGGAGCGGAGGCCUCUCUCCACUUUUGGUUUCUAUACAGCUUAUAGCUAUUAUGACAGGUCUGAAAGCAGGAACUGGAAUCUGAGUCAAGAUGAAUGUCUGACCCUGUCCUACUGGUUGGUUUGUGUUCAUUUGAUGGGUGAGAGCCCUGAAGAGUGAGAAGGGAAAUCCCCCAUGUCUGCGAAGUGGCAGCUCAUAAUGGUCUGGGCUGGAAGAUCCUGGUUUGGGGAGGGCUAAGUUUCUCUCCUCCCUCCCCCUUGAAAUGUGGAGGCUCAACAGCUCUAGGCUGGCCACACUUCUAUCUGCUUCACAGAACUGUUUAGAAAACUAAAAGUUUCUUUUCCUAAUGCCACCCAGCUGCUUUGAUGGACUUGUGCCCACCACCAGAAUUGACAGGUUGUUUCAGCCUCAGGUCCCUUUGGCCCUUACAAUUUUUUCCCCAUCUUCUGUUAAGGUGGUAAGGUCAUGAUCAGACGUGCAUAUGUGUAUGUGUGUAAGAUUACUCCGGAUUUGUACAUGAGUGUUCAUAGCAGCUCUAUUCACACUAAUCCAAAGUACAAACCAACCAAAAGUUCAUCAACAGAUGACUGGAUAAACAAAUCAUGGUAUAUACACACAAUGGAAUUUUACUCAGCCAUAAACAGGAAUGAGGUACUGAUACAUGCUACAACAUGGAUGAAGAUCGAAAACAUUAUGCUAAGUGAAAGAAAUAGACACAAAAGGAAAUUUUGUAGACACAAAAAUAUUUCAUGAUUCUGUUUAUAUGAAAUGUCCAGAAUAGGUAAAUCCAUAGAGACAGAAAGCAGAUUAGUGAUCGUUAGGAGUUGGGGAAGGA
Molecule: long non-coding RNA, 2601 nt
Organism: Diceros bicornis minor
Lineage: Eukaryota; Metazoa; Chordata; Mammalia; Perissodactyla; Rhinocerotidae
Exons: 5
Source: RefSeq, a predicted model, not a curated record